Molecule: long non-coding RNA, 499 nt
Filed under: Physcomitrium patens
Lineage: Eukaryota; Viridiplantae; Streptophyta; Bryopsida; Funariales; Funariaceae
Description: long non-coding RNA (PPAT_LNC010722)
Source: RNAcentral
AUCACAUCCCAACCCAGAAUCACAGUCAAAUCUGGUCCUUCGCUCGCUCGUCUGUUUGAUUAAUUGUUGGUUGGUUGGUUGGCCUGGCAGUGACAAAGUCAGUGGGUAUCCAUCGUCGUCCGCUCUUUUCCGCUGCGUGCCGACGAUCUGCUCAGCGCAGAGCGACCAGGAAGCAACGACUUUGAAUGUCGCCCAACGGAGUCCCCCCUCCCCUCCUCACCCCCCGGUUAGCUGCGAUGGGCCCCCGCUGGGGCAGUGCCCAUGCCGAGAUUGCAUCGACUACGCAACAUCGGGCUGCGACAUAAGCUCUGCCUACUACAAGCCCAUUCUUCUAAUGUGGCGCACCGGGGCUGUUGCGGGCUGAGAGAGGGCACCAGCCUGCUUCUGCUGCUCCUGCUGCUUUGGCAGCGGCGGUGGGCUUUUCUCCACUGCAGACGCGGAUUCUCGCAUCCGUCGCCAACGCUGCACAUGCAGCUUCUGGCAUGUCGGGUCGUAGCAC